UUGCCAGCCCCGGAGACUGAAGUGCUGUGUUUAUCCACAGAGCAGAGCGAGCGCGGGCGGCGGCAGUGGCAGUGGCAGCCUCCCCCCCCCAGGCUGCCUCCACCCUGUGCCUGAGCGCGGAGGCCGAGGAACCACCUCUGAAGGUGAGAGGGGGUUGUUCAGUCUCCACGCACCGCCGGCUGCCAUGACC
This 190-nucleotide small RNA is filed under the name Calidris pugnax (ruff). RNAcentral's name for it is "TUC338 (ENSCPUG00000016048.1)". The record is from RNAcentral. Lineage: Eukaryota; Metazoa; Chordata; Aves; Charadriiformes; Scolopacidae.